CAUACACAUGCAAGUCGAACGGCAGCACGGGAGCAAUUCUGGUGGCGAGUGGCGAACGGGUGAGUAACAUAUCGGAACGUGCCCAGUAAUGGGGGAUAGCCCGGCGAAAGCCGGAUUAAUACCGCAUACGACCUAAGGGUGAAAGCGGGGGACCUGCAAGGGCCUCGCGUUAUUGGAACGGCCGAUAUCAGAUUAGCUAGUUGGUGGGGUAAAGGCCUACCAAGGCGACGAUCUGUAGCUGGUCUGAGAGGACGACCAGCCACACUGGGACUGAGACACGGCCCAGACUCCUACGGGAGGCAGCAGUGGGGAAUUUUGGACAAUGGGCGCAAGCCUGAUCCAGCCAUGCCGCGUGUGGGAAGAAGGCCUUCGGGUUGUAAACCACUUUUGUCAGGGAAGAAACGGUCUGGACUAAUAAUCUGGGCUAAUGACGGUACCUGAAGAAUAAGCACCGGCUAACUACGUGCCAGCAGCCGCGGUAAUACGUAGGGUGCAAGCGUUAAUCGGAAUUACUGGGCGUAAAGCGUGCGCAGGCGGCUUUGCAAGACAGAUGUGAAAUCCCCGGGCUCAACCUGGCUACUGC
RNAcentral lists this ribosomal RNA (583 nucleotides) under uncultured bacterium. Its description in RNAcentral is "bacterial SSU rRNA". It matches the Rfam family "Bacterial small subunit ribosomal RNA", at positions 48 to 624 of the family's 1533-position model. The record is from RNAcentral.